This 81-nucleotide transfer-messenger RNA is filed under the name Methanobacteriota archaeon. RNAcentral describes it as "Euryarchaeota archaeon transfer-messenger RNA". It matches the Rfam family "transfer-messenger RNA". From Rfam's summary of the family: Bacterial tmRNA, also known as 10Sa RNA or SsrA, is named for its dual tRNA and mRNA-like properties. Its role is to liberate the mRNA from a stalled ribosome. The record is from RNAcentral. Lineage: Archaea; Methanobacteriati; Methanobacteriota.
GGGGCUGCAAAUGGUUUUGACUGUCGGAAAUGCCGAAGUGCUCCAGACAGGACGCAGGUUCGAUUCCUGCCAGCUCCACCA